GAUAAACGCUGGCGGCGUGCAUGAGACAUGCAGUUCAACCAAGGAUCGGGCUUUCUCGAUCCUUAGUUGCGGGCGGCUGGGUUACGCGUUAGUUACCUACCCCCGAGUUGGGAAUUACUUCCCCAAAGGGUUGCUUAUACCCCCUUUUGUCGCACCUUCCUUCGUUCGGGUUAAGCCGCAAGGCGCUUCGGGAGGGGCCUGCGUCCGAUUAGCUCGUUGGUGGGGUAAUGGCUUACCAAGGCGACGAUCGGUAGGUGGUCUGAGAGGACGAUCACCCAGACUGGGACUGAGACACGGCCCAGACUCCUACGGGAGGCAGCAGUCGGGAAUUUUGCUCAAUGGGGGAAACCCUGAAGCAGCAACGCCGCGUGAGGGAUGAAGGCCUUCGGGUUGUAAACCUCUUUUGUCAGGGACGAUGAUGACGGUACCUGGCGAAUAAGCCACGGCUAACUACGUG
This 457-nucleotide ribosomal RNA is filed under the name uncultured bacterium. RNAcentral describes it as "partial 16S ribosomal RNA". It matches the Rfam family "Bacterial small subunit ribosomal RNA", at positions 28 to 507 of the family's 1533-position model. The record is from RNAcentral.